Molecule: ribosomal RNA, 462 nt
Filed under: uncultured bacterium
Lineage: Bacteria
Description: partial 16S ribosomal RNA
Rfam family: Bacterial small subunit ribosomal RNA
Source: RNAcentral
GACGAACGCUGGCGGCGUGCUUAACACAUGCAAGUCGAACGGAAAGGCCCUUCGGGGUCCUCGAGUGGCGAACGGGUGAGUAACACGUGGGUGAUCUGCCCUGCACUUUGGGAUAAGCCUGGGAAACUGGGUCUAAUACCGAAUAGGACCACGCGCUUCAUGGUGUGUGGUGGCAAGCUUUUGCGGUGUGGGAUGGGCCCGCGGCCUAUCAGCUUGUUGGUGGGGUAAUGGCCUACCAAGGCGACGACGGGUAGCCGGCCUGAGAGGGUGACCGGCCACACUGGGACUGAGAUACGGCCCAGACUCCUACGGGAGGCAGCAGUGGGGAAUAUUGCACAAUGGGCGCAAGCCUGAUGCAGCGACGCCGCGUGAGGGAUGACGGCCUUCGGGUUGUAAACCUCUUUCAAUAGGGACGAAGCGCAAGUGACGGUACCUAUAGAAGAAGCACCGGCCAACUACGUG